Molecule: unclassified non-coding RNA, 1459 nt
Filed under: Hevea brasiliensis (rubber tree)
Lineage: Eukaryota; Viridiplantae; Streptophyta; Magnoliopsida; Malpighiales; Euphorbiaceae
Source: RNAcentral
UAAAAUUGUAAUUUAAUUUUAUUUAAUUAAAUUAUUAAUCGCUUCAAAAUUAAUUCAUUGAAAUAUAAUUUAACUGACACUAAUAAAUAUUUAUUGAUCAAUCUUAUCAAUUAAUGGAUAGUUAAUGAAGCACACUAAGAACUUGUGAAAGAAGAAAUAUACUGAGCUGAUCUGCAUAGUGAAGGACAUUUUGGUUUGCAUUGUUAAUGAGGUUGCAACAAUCGGGGCAUUUAAAAAUAUACUCGAUCAUUGCGUGUUAAAGCCUUGAAAUAAGGCUAUAAUGUGAAUAAUUGUUCUGUUCUCAUCUUUAUGACAACGUACGUAGACAAUAGAACCUCUUUUUGCAGCAUGGUGAAGUGGAGUUAAUUUUUUUGUCCAAGAGCAUAUAUAGUGCCAUUGAAAGAAAGUAAACAAGACUAAUUUUCCAAUUUACUUGUAAUUGAGCAUGGAUAAUUAAGCAGUAAAAAUGGAAGAAUUAUUUUUUAAAAAAUAAUUGUAAUAGUGGGGGAGAAAUAGCUCUUAUUCUCUCCAUUAUGAGAAAAAAAAGUAAUGUUUGAAUAGAUAAUUACUUCAUUUAUUUUUACCUUUUUCAAAAUCAUUAAGCUCUCAUGUAAGAAAUACUCUUGCCCAUCUACUCUUUCUUUUCUGUCCCCUCUUAUCUAGCCAUCCAUUCAAACCAAGUGUAUGCCUUUGAACAUCAGUAAUCCAAAAGUAUUACAUUUAAGUCUGUAAAUAUAUAAAUAACAUUCAUAAAACAUAUUCUUCAGCUCACAAUACACGUUAUGUACAUUCAGAAAGGGACAUAUUGAACAGACUAAGCGUACCUUCUAACCAAGCAUUCUAUAAGCCAAUCACGCAGCUCGCAGGGCAUUUAGACCAAGCAAUAGCCUCCAAAACUUAGCCAUAAGCUUCAAUAUUAAAAUGACAAUAAUUAAUUAAUUAAUUAAAUUAUUUAAAAAUUGAAAAAAUUAAAAUUACUAGAAAAGGAGAAAGAACUACUUACAGUGUUAAAAUCCUUUCAUCAUCAUAAUCGUCAGGAAUACUACUUAACCUUUUGAGGACAUAAAACAAGAAAAGAAAGAAGCUCAAACCAAUGGCACAAGUAGAAAUGGCAAGCCCUAAGGAAGGUGCAAGAACUGCAUAAGUGCCUGUAACAAAUGCAACCACCAUUGCUCCCAUGGCAAGGAAGAUAAACCGGAAGGCAGUUUUUAUUAACCAGUAGUAUUUUGGUCCAUAUCCUAACAUCACUGUAAUGAAAUAGAUAAAGACAGAAGAAAUAGAAAGAACCAUGGCCAUAGUGUCUGAUAUAACAAAUGCUUUAAAAGCUGAAUUUUUUCUCAAAAUAGGAGUUCCUUUCUCUAAAUCAUUUUCAUUACUUAUAUAACCACCGGGUAAAGUAAACGCUGCUGCAAAAGUUACUGUUGCUAUAAGUGCUGCAGCCACCAAAUGAGAGUCUUUA